UUCGCCAGGGAACAACGAGCCCCAGCUUAAAACCCAAAGGACUUGGCGGUGCUUUAGACCCCCCUAGAGGAGCCUGUUCUAGAAUCGAUAUUCCCCGUUCAACCUCACCCCCUCUUGUUUUUUCCGCCUAUAUACCGCCGUCGUCAGCCUACCCUGUGAAGGACUAAUAGUAAGCAAAAUUGGUAAAACCUAAAACGUCAGGUCAAGGUGUAGCAUACGAGGAGGGAAGAAAUGGGCUACAUUUGCUGCCCCAGCAAAAACGAACGUUGCACUGAAACGAGCAUCUGAAGGAGGAUUUAGCAGUAAGAGGGGAAUAGAGCGCCCCCCUGAAAACGGCCCUGAAGCGCGCACACACCGCCCGUCACUCUCCCCAAAAAACCUAAACAAAUAAAUAAUAAAAUACUAAAACAGAGGGGAGGCAAGUCGUAACAUGGUAAGUGUACCGGAAGGUGUACUUGGAAAAACCC
Molecule: ribosomal RNA, 467 nt
Filed under: Babka gymnotrachelus (racer goby)
Lineage: Eukaryota; Metazoa; Chordata; Actinopteri; Gobiiformes; Gobiidae
Description: partial 12S ribosomal RNA
Rfam family: Bacterial small subunit ribosomal RNA
Source: RNAcentral